GGAGUGUGACAUUUCUGCGAGAAUGCUUAAAUACCGAUUUCCCGCAGGAACAAUGGCGCUGUCUUCAGUGGCACAGUGGAGCAGCUCUGAAGAUGCAAAGAUACACGAAAAAACUUCCAGAACAUCUGGGAGAAUAUUUAAUGGAAAAUCGCUUGGUUAAAACCUGACACUUUUAACAGUGAGGGUCGCUGUCUGCCCAUUGAUAGAGGCCAGAUUGUCUUGGAAGUUCCAAAGUUGCAACGAUUUCUUUAGUUGAAUCCAUGGACAUGAAACCCACAGAUAUAGAGGGUUGGCCCGGUGCAGUGGCUCACGCCUGUAAUCCCAGCACUUUGGGAGGCCAAGGCGGGUGGAUCACCUGAGGUCAGAAGCUUGAGACCAGCCUGGCCAACAUGGGUACUGCUUUCUCUUGCUGCAGCUUGCUUCCUCCCUCAGGUAUGAAGUUAAGCUACUCGGGAGGCUGAGGCAGGAGAAUCGCUUGAACCCGGGAGGCGGAGGUUGCCAUGAGCCGAGAUUGCGCCACUACACUCCAGCCUGGGCAACAAAAGCGAAACUCCAUCUCAAAAAAAAAAAAAAGGCAUAUAAAAUUAUAGCUGGGUAGGAGGAAUAAGUUCUAGUGUUCUACACCACUGUGGGAUGACUAUAGUUAACAAUAAUACAUACUUUCAGGUAACAUGAAGGAGGAUAUUGAAUGUUCCUAACACAAAGAAAUGAUAAAUGUUUGAGAUGGUGGAUGUACUAAUUGCCCUGAUCUGAUGACUAUACAUUAUAUAUAUUGAAACAUCAGUAUGUACCCCAUGAAUAUGUACAAUUAUAUGUCAACUUAAACACAUUUAAAAGUAAAAAAAAAAAAA
Molecule: long non-coding RNA, 851 nt
Filed under: Homo sapiens (human)
Lineage: Eukaryota; Metazoa; Chordata; Mammalia; Primates; Hominidae
Description: non-protein coding SNHG5:25
Source: RNAcentral